CUUUGCUUCUAUAAGAAUUACUCCUUGAUCUUACACAAGCCUUUGAAGACACUCUAUAAGUUUUGGAGUCGUUCCCUUUGUUCAUCGACAAAGAACACUUUUCAAGAUGUUUCUUCCAUGUCAGAAUCUGCUCUACUUUGUUAUUAUCCUUCAAAUCAGAGCUACAGCAGGAAUUUCACUGAGCUGCAAUGAAACAGUACACGCUGAAGCUGGGAAAGACAUCACAAUAAAAUGUAACAUAUCUACAAAUGCAUCUCAGAAGUGUGUGGUAGAUCCCUGUAUCUGUGAAGCAAAUAAAGCAAAGUGUAACCAUGGCCGAAUGAAACUGAACUGCACUGAGACUGAAUUGUCUCUGCAUCUCUUCAAUGUUAACGAAGAUCAAGAUUUCAGUGUUUCCAUCCAUUCAAAUUGUGGUGUCCCGCCCAGCUCAAAAGUUCAGCUAAAAGUGUACAGACUGGAAGGAGUGGUGCAGGCUACAACAUCGCCUCCUAAAAUACCACAUGAGGUGACUGUAGCUGUUGGUUCUAUCUUUGGUAUCAUCGCUCUUCUUGGUCUGCUGUUAGUGUUGCGGCUAGUGUGUAAUAAAUACAGACAAAGUUCUUCAAAAAGUUCAUGUAAGAGCAUAAUAUGACAGUGUAUCAUUGUGUGAACUAUUAAUGUGAGGGUUAAAAGUUGUUUAAGGUUUCAGCUGGUUUACAGGUGGAGUUAUGUUUUGGCCUGUAGAGGAUAGGGUCUCCAGUUGAUGAUAUGUUUUUAUUUUUACUUACUUAAUUCCUCAGGGAAACAUUGUACCAAACAGACACACUGAAAUAUUUCAUGCUGAAAAAAAGAAUUGGAUUUAUUUAACCAAACAUUUGACAAAUAGAUUUAUCUAGUUUCUAAUGCAUUGCACAUUUCAUAUUCAGUUGUACAAAUUAAAAAAAAAAUAUAUAUAUAUAAAAACUGUCAAAUAAUUUUACCAUUAAAAUUUUCAAUUAUACACACAACAGACAAGGUUAUUAAUCGUAUCAUAAUUUUAUCCAAACCUGCACAUUGUUCUUACUAACAUGUGCACAAACAAGGAUUUGCUUGUACAGAAGCACUUUUACCAAAAAUCUCCUAAAAUCUAUUUUAGAUUAAUGCACCUCACUAUUUAUGAAAGUUGAUGAAGCAUUUUAAAUAGAAAAGGAAAGGAUAUAAUGUGUAGCAGAGAUGAUUUUUUCUUUUUUGUUGUUGUUAUUUCCUGACCAACGCUCUAGUCCAGUAGGUGGCGAUUAAACCUUAAAGCUAGUUAUUAACCCUCAAUAAAACAAAAAAAACAAACAGAGAAGAAGUUGGGGAAUCAAUUUUUCAUAUGUGUUUUCAGAAAAACACAAAUGUAGCACCUUUUCUGAACUGGCACUUUUACAUGUUUCUUUUUCUUUCUAUCCAAACACCCCAGUAGCCUGUACCUCCAUCACAUCUUUUUAAUUCUUACUCUGACCUAAUUCUAUUAUUAUGAUACUUCUGUCAUCUUCAUCCUCACUCUCCUCAGCUUAACUGUUGCCACAACUUUAACUUCCUCAUCACUCUAUGACACCUCAUCCUCAGUGAUAAGCUGGCAGACACAUGUAUAGAUACAGUAUGUGACUUGCAUAUUAGAAAUGGAUUACUAAAUCUUACUUAUGGCAAAUACAUUUAGAUAAUACUAACUCUCUUUCCUACAAACUAAAUACAGUUGUACUCCAUCUUAAUUUGCAAUAUGCAAGUAUUGUCAUUUUCUGAGGAAAACUUUUUUUUUUUUUUAAUAAUUUCAGUUUCCCAACCCUUAGAUAACACUGCUAAAUAAAAUUACAUUUAAUUUACAGUAAAAAACUGAAACAUUCUGUGUUGCCUGGAUGCAACACGUUAUCAUGGAGGGUUAAUGUGAGUAUAUCAUGCAUGUCUUGGAUAUUAAUAUUAAUUGUGUGAAAAUGUCAACACCUGGCUGUGUGGCUUCCUAUCAUUGAUAUAUAUUAUAUAUCCAGCACAUAUAUAACACUUUUUUUUUUUUACUAUUUUAGAUCCUGUCACUUCUCUAAACCUAUGGCUACAUGCAGGCAAAUGUGGCCCAAAUCCAAUUUUUUUGCCCAUAUGUGACCUGUAUCCAAUCUGUUAAAGAAAGUUUGAACAGCACAAAUUCGUUUUUUUUUUUUUUUCAAAUCCGACCAA
Sphaeramia orbicularis (orbiculate cardinalfish) is the source of this 2169-nucleotide long non-coding RNA. RefSeq lists it as uncharacterized. The record is from RefSeq and is a predicted model, not a curated record. NCBI's taxonomy places the organism in Eukaryota, Metazoa, Chordata, Actinopteri, Kurtiformes, Apogonidae. The transcript is spliced from 4 exons.